ACGGAGGAUGCAAGCGUUAUCCGGAUUUAUUGGGUUUAAAGGGUGCGCAGGCGGGCUUGUAAGUCAGUGGUGAAAUACUGCCGCUCAACGGUAGGGUUGCCAUUGAUACUGCAAGUCUUGAGUAUGGUUGAGGCAGGCGGAAUGUGCGGUGUAGGGGUGAAAUGUUUAGAUUUUGUACGGACCGCCGAUGGCGAGGGCAGCGUCCCAAGCCAUUACUGACGCUGAGGCACGAAAGCGUGGGGAUCGAACAG
Molecule: ribosomal RNA, 251 nt
Filed under: uncultured prokaryote
Description: partial 16S rRNA
Rfam family: Bacterial small subunit ribosomal RNA
Source: RNAcentral